This 253-nucleotide ribosomal RNA is filed under the name uncultured bacterium. Its description in RNAcentral is "partial 16S ribosomal RNA". It matches the Rfam family "Bacterial small subunit ribosomal RNA", at positions 524 to 776 of the family's 1533-position model. The record is from RNAcentral.
UACGGGGGGUGCAAGCGUUAUUCGGAAUCACUGGGCGUAAAGCGCGCGCAGGCGGCCGUUUAAGUCAGAUGUGAAAGCCCGGGGCUCAACCCCGGAAGUGCAUUUGAUACUAUUCGGCUUGAGUAUGGGAGAGGGAAGUGGAAUUCCUGGUGUAGAGGUGAAAUUCGUAGAUAUCAGGAGGAACACCGGUGGCGAAGGCGCCUUCCUGGACCAAUACUGACGCUGAGGCGCGAGGGCGUGGGGAGCAAACAGG